GGAAAAGUUGCAGUCUGAUCCUGUCUGGAAGUAUUUAAUGGCACAUAAAGCAAUCCAGCAGGGUGAGAAGGUUGUUCGAGGACGGUAAUUUUUAUAUUUGUUGCACAAGACUUAGCUGCUUGGAGUAUGAUUGAAGUAACGAUUCUGAGGCACAAGGUUGUGUACAAAAUUCUCUAGUAGUAAAUUUUAUUAAUGUGUGUGUGUGAUCUUGCUGUCUUGCAAAAGGAAAUAAAAAGUGAAAAAGAUUGUUUGGACAUUCUUUUGAUUAUGUCAAGCUCAAAAUCAAGGAUGACUUUCCUCAACCUAAUGUCUUAAUAUUAUAUUCUCUUUGACGUGAUUUUUGCGUGAGCUUGGGGAGGGAACUUGACAUUAGAUCAGUAUGCAAGGAAGGCUAUGGAUCCAUUUGCUUGAGAUGGCUGUGAAGGGCAAUCAUAUGGGAAAGUGAGAAGAGCUAAAAGUUUUAGAGGCAAUGCUUACCCACUUGAUUGUUAUGAACCCAUAGAUAAGAAGGCCUUUCUUGUAGACCGUUCUUCCUUCGACAUAGAUGGCCUUUCUAUAGGACUGAGCCAAUUUACCUAAAGGAUUCAUCAGUAGGACAUCUCUAACAUACACGAUGCCUUGAAACUUAAGUUUGUUACGAUUAAUAUAGUUUACUGUGUUUUGGUCAUGUGGUAAAUUAUUUUAUAUCUUGCUUGUCUUUGUUGAUUUUUCUUAAUCUCCUGUUUUCUUGUAGACAACUUCAUCCCAAAGUACCCUUUUUGAUCAUUUGAUCAAUGUCUGGGAAUUUAAUCUGGGACCUGUUCCAGGAACCUGCAAUCUUUAUUUCUUGGUGGACUUUAAAGUUCCAGUCACCAUUAUAUGGACAGGUGAGCAUCAAUACUAUAUUAGUUUGUGUGACAACUUGGAUAGGCAUAUAGCAGUAACGAUGUUUGUAAUUAUUUUAAUUUAUUUUGGUAGAUUAAUUAUCUGUUGAGCUCAAUAUCUUCAG
Molecule: long non-coding RNA, 988 nt
Filed under: Olea europaea subsp. europaea
Lineage: Eukaryota; Viridiplantae; Streptophyta; Magnoliopsida; Lamiales; Oleaceae
Source: RNAcentral